This 162-nucleotide small nuclear RNA is filed under the name Castor canadensis (American beaver). Its description in RNAcentral is "U1 spliceosomal RNA (ENSCCNG00000002463.1)". It matches the Rfam family "U1 spliceosomal RNA". Rfam says of the family: U1 is a small nuclear RNA (snRNA) component of the spliceosome (involved in pre-mRNA splicing). Lineage: Eukaryota; Metazoa; Chordata; Mammalia; Rodentia; Castoridae. The record is from Rfam by way of RNAcentral.
AUAUAUACCUGGCAAGAGAGAUACCAUGAUCACGAAGGUGGUUUUCGCAGUGCAAGGUUUAUCCAUUGCACUCUGGAUGUGCUGACCCCUGCAAGUUCCCCAAAUGUGGGAAAUUCGACUGCCUAAUUUGUGGUAGUGGGCGACUACAUUUGACCUCUCCCC